UUGGAGAGGUUGAUCCUGGCUCAGGAUGAACGCUGGCGGCGUGCCUAAUACAUGCAAGUCGAGCGAACAGAUAAGGAGCUUGCUCCUUUGACGUUAGCGGCGGACGGGUGAGUAACACGUGGGUAACCUACCUAUAAGACUGGAAUAACUCCGGGAAACCGGGGCUAAUGCCGGAUAACAUUUAGAACCGCAUGGUUCUAAAGUGAAAGAUGGUUUUGCUAUCACUUAUAGAUGGACCCGCGCCGUAUUAGCUAGUUGGUAAGGUAACGGCUUACCAAGGCAACGAUACGUAGCCGACCUGAGAGGGUGAUCGGCCACACUGGAACUGAGACACGGUCCAGACUCCUACGGGAGGCAGCAGUAGGGAAUCUUCCGCAAUGGGCGAAAGCCUGACGGAGCAACGCCGCGUGAGUGAUGAAGGUCUUCGGAUCGUAAAACUCUGUUAUUAGGGAAGAACAAAUGUGUAAGUAACUGUGCACGUCUUGACGGUACCUAAUCAGAAAGCCACGGCUAACUACGUGCCAGCAGCCGCGGUAAUA
Molecule: ribosomal RNA, 539 nt
Filed under: Staphylococcus sp.
Lineage: Bacteria; Bacillati; Bacillota; Bacilli; Caryophanales; Staphylococcaceae
Description: bacterial SSU rRNA
Rfam family: Bacterial small subunit ribosomal RNA
Source: RNAcentral